Loxodonta africana (African savanna elephant) is the source of this 4400-nucleotide long non-coding RNA. RefSeq lists it as uncharacterized. The record is from RefSeq and is a predicted model, not a curated record. The transcript has 3 exons. NCBI's taxonomy places the organism in Eukaryota, Metazoa, Chordata, Mammalia, Proboscidea, Elephantidae.
CUCUUCAUCGUGGGCAAAGCAAUAUCUCUGAUGAUUGUAUUUCCCUUUUCAGAAACUUUGUUCCUCUUUGGGAACUUACAGGGCUUGGGAUCUGUAUGGGGGAGACCUGAGAGGCCCCCGAAACUGGGUAUCAAGGCCAGGGAAAGCAGAGAUCAGCCUGAAGAGGGUGGACCUUGACAGCAACCACACUCAAUGUCCAGGUUUAAGGCAUGUGUGUGGAGGUGUGCGUGAGCUGUUUUUCCAGGCAUCACAACCCGCUGCUGUUAUGCCCUAAGUCUCGUUGGUACAAAUGAUUGAGCAUUUGGAGGUUUAAAUCCACCCAGAGGCACCUCAGGAGAAAGGCCUGGUCAUCUACUUUUGAAAAAUCAGCCAUUGGAAACCUGAUGGAGCUCAGUUCUAAUCUGGUUCACAUGGGGUCACCAUAAGUCAGAGCCAACUCACUGAAAACUGGUGGUUUUCCUGUUAUGCCCAAGCCUUCAGUUAACUUCUAUUAAACGUCACAUCCUGGUCUUGUCUGUGCUGCGGUCAAUUAAGGAAGAGUCCCAGGGCAAAGAGAAGCAAAGGAAGAAGCACACGCCCCUAGAAAGCCAGAUUCGGGGUGGCAAGAUGGGGUCUCACAACAGUGUGGUGGUCUGGAAUGAGUCUGAAGACUUUGUUAAGGAAAAAGCUGCCCUUUAAGUAGUAACAAGCUCCUUUUAGGAAGACCUGAGUCAUGAAGGAGACCUCGGGAAACCAGUGAGAAAAAGAGAGACAAGUAGGCAGAGAAGGGCUGCCGGGGUUCCAACAGAACCCACAUCUGAGAUCCAGUCCUUCCAGUGUCCACCUACAUUCCUGCCCUGGAGUUCCAGAAAUGCCUCAGUAUCCUCAUAAAUAAACCCCUUUUUUGUUUGCACUAACCUGAGUAGUUUUCUUGUGCCUGCAAUCAAAGGGUUCUAAAUAACACAGUAACCAUGGUUAAAUUACUUACCAUCUCCUACCCUCAGUCUCCAAAUCUGUUCAGUGAAGAAGUGAUUGUGAGGAAUCAGCACUGGAUUCCUAACGUAGUAGAAAGCACAGACUCCAUGAUAACAGGCACUUUUAAAUGUCAUUGUCGUUUUGCUGCAAGAGGCUGCUAAGAAUUCUCAGCUCUGGUCUCUCAAACAGUCCUCCUCCCAUGGCAUUGCAGGCUGUUUGGGAGACACUGUUGUGUAGAUGGAGUCCCUUGGUAGUGCAAACAGUUAACGUGCUCAGCUGCUAACUGAAAGGCAGAAGGUUCAGGUCCACCCACACAGGUCCGCCUUGGAGGAAAGGCCUGGUGACCUACUUCAAAAAAAUCACCCACUGAAAACUCCACGGAGCCCAGUUCUCCCCUGACACACAUGGGGUUGCCGUACUGGGCGGCAACCGGCAUGUUACUGGAGUUGUGUAGAUAACACUGUCUUUGCAUCACCAGUCAACACUGGUCGGGGCUUUUUAAAGAUGUAUGGACCUCCCAGGAGUAUUUGUAAUUGGCACUUUUCUCCAUAUAGUCUAACAGAUUUAGUUUGUCCUCUUAUACGAGACUCAUGAAUCAUGGCACCAUGACUCAAACAGUGCCCCAACCGUCACACCAAUCCAUGUCUUCUCUGAACCUUGCAGAACACAUCCCAAGGCAUUUUUACCUACUUCAUCCUGGACAUGUCAUGAUACAAGUUACACAAGAACACAUUCCUUACUGAGCCAACUCAGAUGAGAUCCUCGCCUGGAUCACAUUCCUAUAGCUUGUGGCCUGGUGAUAACUAUGCUUUAUGUGCUCCAAGUAUUUAUCCACAGUCCCUACAAACGUCUGGAAGUUAUAAUAAAUACUGGAGAUUGUAAUAAAUACUCCAUUAUGUUCUAGAAAAACAAACCUGAACCUCACAACUAACUGUCAGAUAGCAUAGAGCUCCCUAGUUUGCUAAAAAAGAGAUCUAAGGAACUGCAAGGGUAGCAUUUAUAUUGCACCAGCCACUUCAUAUGACAAGUUCCAGCCUCUACACAACAGAACCCAGAAGUGCUCACAGCGCCUGAUGAGCUUACUAAUGGUGUUAUGUCCUUAAAAUCUGUUUUAUGAAUCGAAUUGUGUCCCCCCAAAAUCUGUGUUGUAAAUCCUAGCCUCUAUGUUAACCACAGUGGUUAACAGCUUGGCUGCUAACCAAAAGGUCAGCAGUUCAAAUUCACCAGCUGCUAAUUGGAAACCCUAGGGGGUAGCUGUACUCUGUCCUGUAGGGUCACUAUGAGCCAGUAUUGACUCGACUGCAAUGGGUAUGCCUGUGGUUAUACUGGGAAUGGUUUGUCCUUACUACGUGAAUGCAGCAGGAUUAAUGUACAGUGUGUCUUGAGACAAUCUCUUUUGAAAUAUAAAAGAGAUUAAACAAGCAAGCAAGGGAAGCAGAGAUGGGGUUAGAGAUGUGCCAAGGGAGUGGGGUCACCACUCAGAUGGACUAGGAAAAUGAGGCCACCCAAAGCCAAGGGAGUAGAGUUACCCUCCUAUCGGGCCUGGGAGGCAGAGCUGAAGCCCAGGGCCAAGGGGCCUCCACCCGGAAUCCAGAGAGCAUGGCCAACACCCAGAGUCUGGAGGGCAGGGAAGUUGCCCAGAUGGUUUCAGAGAAGAGCAGAUUAUUUUCAAGCCUUUGAGAGCUAAUGUAAAUUGUUUUGCUGGGCUUUGGACUUGCUUGAUACCCAUUACCCCUUCUUUCCCUCCAACUUCUCUCAUUUGUAAUGGAAAUCUCUACCUUGUGCCUGUUCCAUUCUAGUACUUUAGAAACAGACAACCUGCAUUCUAUAUUUCACAGGUUCACAGAUGAAGAGGAAUUUUGCCCAGGGAUGGAAUACGCCUAAAGUCUCACCCAUAUUUGAUUUAGAUGAUUCGGGAGAUGAGGUUUGGAUUUGGAGUUUAAUUAAAGACUUUGGGGAUGAUGUGAUAGGGUGAAUGUGUUUUGCAUGUGGUAAGGUCUGGAAUUUUGGGGAGCCAAAGAGUGGAAUGUUAUGGAUGGAAUUGUGUCCCCCAAAAAUACAUGUUGUAAAUCCUAGCCUCUGUGCCUGUGGCUAUAAUCCCAUUUGGGGAUGGGUUGUCUUUGUUAUGUGAAUGAGGCAGGAUUAAUGCAGGGUGUGUCUUGAGUCAAUCUCUUUUGAGAUAUAAAAGGGAUUAAACAAGCAAGCAAGAGAAGCAGAGAUGGGGGAAGAGAGAUGCCAACGCACAUGAAGAUCACCCAGGAGAAGAAGCUAAAAAGUCUAGGACCUUCCUCCAGAGCCAACAGAGAAAGAAAGCCUUCCCCUAGAACCAGCACCCUGAAGUCAGACUUCCAGACUCCUAAACUGUGAGAAAAUAAAUUUGUUUAAGCCACUCAUUUGUGAUAUUUCUGUUACAGCAGCACUAGAUAACUAAGAAUUCAUACCCUAAAUCUUACUUACAAAGUAAAAUUUAAUCUUUAAUAUAGCCAACUUAGUCCUACAUACAAAGGCAGUUUUCUUGUAAGUGUAAAAAAGGCUGCUAUUUUGCAAGAAUUACCACUAAGGCGUGGAUAUGCUGAACUCUGAUUAAAGCUUAAAGCUAGAACAUAAAUUGUUGUCAUUGAUGGAAUCUUAAAGACUUUUUUAAAACCACAAAGACUUAUGAGAAGUAAAACUAGAAGAGGAUUUCUUAGAACUUUUUCCUGUCAAAUUAAUAUAAAACAAUUAAGUGCAGUGCUUGAUCUUGGGAUAAAUAGGUCAAUGGAGCAUAGAAACAGUUUAAAACAGUACCUUCUCAUAAUUCAGCUGGAUUCCAAGAGCAAUGAUAAGAUAUUUGUAGGAGAUCUGCAACACAAAACAAUGCCAUUUUAGACCAGUACCCAAGAAGUGGCAGCCCAAGGGCCAACUCGGGCCUCAGAUGUAUGUGUUUCACUUUCUAAUGUGGGUGACUUGGGGCUGUGGGUGGUGAGCAGGCAGGAAGAGAGGGAUGCACAUUCCAGCCCUCCAUUGUGCCCCCGAUGCUCUCCUGCCUCACAGCUCACUGCUUCUCAGACACCAAGUAACCCACCUAGCUCCUGGAAGCUGGGUACCCCUGCAUUUUUACACAGUGGAGAAUAAUAGCAAAGAAGCUACAUUUAUUUGGGCAGUGCUUAUAUUAAUACUUUUUCAUGUUGAGGCACAGAGGAAUGACUUCCUAAUCUUAAAAGACAAUCGCUUCUUUUAAAAUCUAUGGUGUAAUGUGUGAAUCCCAAGCAAAACUGACUUGUCAUAUGGGUUAGACCAAUACUAUCAUUGGGAAACUGCUCUUUGGAAAGCACUGAAAAGAAUGUGAUCCAGUGUACUUGAUUUAAUGAUCUGUAUAAAAAAAAAAAAAAUUUUUUUUUUUUUUUUAUGGGAUGGAAAAGUCCCUUCUUCAAUUCUGUUACCUCCUUGCCAUUGUCUGUACGGAU